RNAcentral lists this ribosomal RNA (460 nucleotides) under uncultured bacterium. RNAcentral describes it as "partial 16S ribosomal RNA". It matches the Rfam family "Bacterial small subunit ribosomal RNA", at positions 338 to 795 of the family's 1533-position model. The record is from RNAcentral.
CCUACGGGUGGCAGCAGUGAGGAAUAUUGGACAAUGGACGCGAGUCUGAACCAGCCAAGUCGCGUGAAGGAUGACUGCCCUCUGGUUGUUAAAUUUCUUUUAUGUGGGAAUAAAGCAUAGUAUGCAUACCCUCUUCUAUGUACCAUAUUAAUAGGGAUCGGCUAACUCCGUGCCAGCACCCGCGGUAAUACGGAGCGUCCGAGCGUUAUCCGGAUUUAUGGGGUGUAAAGGGAGCGUAGGUGGAUUGUUAAGUCAGUUGUGAAAGUUUGCGGCUCAACCGUAAAAGUGCAGUUGAAACUGGCAGUCUUGAGUAGAGUAGAGGUGGGCGGAAUUCGUGGUGUAGCGGUGAAAUGCUGAGAUAUCACGAAGAACUCCGAUUGCGAAGGCAGCUCACUGGACUGCAACUGACACUGAUGCUCGAAAGUGUGGGUAUCAAACAGGAUUAGAUACCCCAGUAGUC